AUGGCAGGCAGCGGAUCAGACUCCUACCACUCUGGAUUCGUCGACUGGGGUGUCAUCCCGUGCAGGUUGGAGGAGGCAAUGACAGUCCGCAUUGCACUCCGCCGCUCUCAGGAGGACAGCACCCGGCCGACGGACGGAUCCUUCCGCCGUGAAGGGCAGGGAGUGAAUGACCUCCAGUCAUUCGGUGCACUGGGCAGCCGUGUAAAUGUGGAUCGCCUCGACGAAGGCAGCUGCGCACGUAGCGACGUGACAGGCCACACGCUUGCCUUACCGUGCGCUCUACGUGUACCGGUCCAUUCAGUCCAAGGCUGCCUCCCACCCUUGGAUAUGCCCGCGUGCCGUGCCAGGUGCACUACUGCACGUUCCGACGGCGACGCGUGCCGUUUGGCCAUCUCACCAGUCGAGCUCCAGCCCAUCCUCGGCGACGACAUGGCCGUCCUCCUGCGCUUCUCGUCGCUGGACGGGGAGUGGGUCAGCAAGAGCGUUGGCUACCCGCUUCCGGCCGGCCUUCACAGCACCAACGGCGUCAUCUCCUGCUCCAGGAGGCUCCCGAACGGCAAGGCGCUCAAGUGCAGGAAAGCCUCGGGGUCGGGGAUGCUCGGCAAGUACCUCUACGUGGGCGUCGGCGCCGGGCAAGCGGCAAGCUGCGUGGACGCUGGAGUACGGUACGAGGCCAGCUACAAGGCCACUGGUCUGCCAAGGAAGAUCCCCGUGCUUGGGCUCAACCAUGUGCUCGGCGUCGACGUGCGUGCUCGCAAGGUCGUGGGCUGCGAGAUCUACGAGCUCGUUCAGAACGAAGACGUCGCUACUAGCUACCCGCUUUGUUCAUGCUUGGCAGCUGCCACGGGCUCUCCGCUCAGGUUCGUAAUUGUACUAGUCCUUCUUCGCAUGUGA
This 894-nucleotide ribosomal RNA is filed under the name Triticum aestivum (bread wheat). RNAcentral's name for it is "partial small subunit ribosomal RNA". Lineage: Eukaryota; Viridiplantae; Streptophyta; Magnoliopsida; Poales; Poaceae. The record is from RNAcentral.